AUUCCAGCUCCAAGAGCGUAUAUUAAAGUUGUUGCAGUUAAAAAGCUCGUAGUUGGAUUUCUGGUCUAAUGCGCCUGGCCCGCUGCCGUUAGGUAUGUGAGUGCCGGUGCGCGUUUACCAUCCUUCCAGAGAACACUUCUACCAUUUAUUUGGACGGAUGUUGUCUUCUGGAUCUUUUACUUUGAAAAAAUUAGAGUGUUUAAAGCAGGCCUUUGCUGUGAAUACAUUAGCAUGGAAUAAUAAUCUAGGACUUCGGUUCUAUUUUGUUGGUUUCUAGUACUGAAGUAAUGAUUAACAGGGACAGUUGGGGGUAUUCGUAUUUAAUUGUCAGAGGUGAAAUUCUUGGAUUUAUGAAAGACGAACGACUGCGAAAGCAUUUACCAAGGAUGUUUUCAUUA
RNAcentral lists this ribosomal RNA (398 nucleotides) under Cryomonadida sp. RNAcentral describes it as "partial small subunit ribosomal RNA". It matches the Rfam family "Eukaryotic small subunit ribosomal RNA", at positions 582 to 975 of the family's 1831-position model. Lineage: Eukaryota; Cercozoa; Thecofilosea; Cryomonadida. The record is from RNAcentral.